CAGCACCACUCGUGACCUGGCAGCCUGGCUAUGGCUGUUGGGUUCCAUUCUGGUGCCAUAGCAUCACCGUUGAUGCCACGCAGCUGGCUGCCCAGUGGUUUCCAGCCUGGGGUCCUGGAGACAGAC
Molecule: small nucleolar RNA, 126 nt
Organism: Ochotona princeps (American pika)
Lineage: Eukaryota; Metazoa; Chordata; Mammalia; Lagomorpha; Ochotonidae
Source: RefSeq, a predicted model, not a curated record